UCCCUGGGGGUCCAGUGGUUAGGACUCAGUGCUUUCACUGCUGUGGCUGGGGUUUCAAUCCCUGGUUGGGGAA
RNAcentral lists this transfer RNA (73 nucleotides) under Bos taurus (domestic cattle). It matches the Rfam family "tRNA". Rfam says of the family: Transfer RNA (tRNA) molecules are approximately 80 nucleotides in length. Their secondary structure includes four short double-helical elements and three loops (D, anti-codon, and T loops). Further hydrogen bonds mediate the characteristic L-shaped molecular structure. tRNAs have two regions of fundamental functional importance: the anti-codon, which is responsible for specific mRNA codon recognition, and the 3' end, to which the tRNAs corresponding amino acid is attached (by aminoacyl-tRNA synthetases). tRNAs cope with the degeneracy of the genetic code in two manners: having more than one tRNA (with a specific anti-codon) for a particular amino acid; and 'wobble' base-pairing, i.e. permitting non-standard base-pairing at the 3rd anti-codon position. RNAcentral also lists the same sequence under 3 other names. The record is from Rfam by way of RNAcentral. Lineage: Eukaryota; Metazoa; Chordata; Mammalia; Artiodactyla; Bovidae.